UCGGGUUGUAAAGCACUUUUGUCCGGAAAGAAAACUUCUGCCCUAAUACGGUGGGAGGGUGACGGUACCGGAAGAAUAAGCACCGGCUAACUACGUGCCAGCAGCCGCGGUAAUACGUAGGGUGCGAGCGUUAAUCGGAAUUACUGGGCGUAAAGCGUGCGCAGGCGGUUCGUUAAGACAGAUGUGAAAUCCCCGGGCUUAACCUGGGAACUGCAUUUGUGACUGGCGAGCUAGAGUAUGGCAGAGGGGGGGUAGGAUUUCCACGUGUAGCAGUGAAAUGCGUAGAGAUGUGGAGGAAUACCGAUGGCGAAGGCAGCCCCUGGGCCAAUACUGACGCUCAUGCACGAAAGCGUGGGGAGCAAACAGGAUUAGAUACCCUGGUAGUCCACGCCCUAAACGAUGUCAACUAGUUGUUGGGGAUUCAUUUCCUUAGUAACGUAGCUAACGCGUGAAGUUGACCGCCUGGGGAGUACGGUCGCAAGAUUAAAACUCAAAGGAAUUGACGGGGACCCGCACAAGCGGUGGAUGAUGUGGAUUAAUUCGAUGCAACGCGAAAAACCUUACCUACCCUUGACAUGGUCGGAACCCUGCUG
RNAcentral lists this ribosomal RNA (593 nucleotides) under uncultured Burkholderia sp. Its description in RNAcentral is "bacterial SSU rRNA". It matches the Rfam family "Bacterial small subunit ribosomal RNA", at positions 418 to 1003 of the family's 1533-position model. Lineage: Bacteria; Pseudomonadati; Pseudomonadota; Betaproteobacteria; Burkholderiales; Burkholderiaceae. The record is from RNAcentral.